UAAAUGAAAGCCAAAAUAAGAGGCAUCUAGCUGUUAAUUAGAAGAAUGUAAUUUAAAUUACUCAUUUAA
This 69-nucleotide transfer RNA is filed under the name Neptunea subdilatata. RNAcentral's name for it is "tRNA-Asn". It matches the Rfam family "tRNA". Rfam says of the family: Transfer RNA (tRNA) molecules are approximately 80 nucleotides in length. The record is from RNAcentral. Lineage: Eukaryota; Metazoa; Mollusca; Gastropoda; Neogastropoda; Buccinidae.